This 465-nucleotide ribosomal RNA is filed under the name uncultured bacterium. Its description in RNAcentral is "partial 16S ribosomal RNA". It matches the Rfam family "Bacterial small subunit ribosomal RNA", at positions 28 to 507 of the family's 1533-position model. The record is from RNAcentral.
GACGAACGCUGGCGGCGUGCUUAACACAUGCAAGUCGAACGGAAAGGCCCUGCUUGCCGGGUACUCGAGUGGCGAACGGGUGAGUAACACGUGGGUGAUCUGCCCUGCACUUCGGGAUAAGCCUGGGAAACUGGGUCUAAUACCGGAUAGGAGCCAUUUUUAGUGUGAUGGUUGGAAAGUUUUUUCGGUGUAGGAUGAGCUCGCGGCCUAUCAGCUUGUUGGUGGGGUAAUGGCCUACCAAGGCGGCGACGGGUAGCCGGCCUGAGAGGGUGGACGGCCACAUUGGGACUGAGAUACGGCCCAGACUCCUACGGGAGGCAGCAGUGGGGAAUAUUGCACAAUGGGCGCAAGCCUGAUGCAGCGACGCCGCGUGGGGGAUGACGGCCUUCGGGUUAUAAACUCCUUUCGCUAGGGACGAAGCUUUUUGUGACGGUACCUAGAUAAGAAGCACCGGCUAACUACGUG